AGAGAUAAUGGAAGAAAAAAGAAAAUGAAAAAGGAAAAUAGUGGCUACCAGCGGCGAGGGUGAGCAAAAAGGUUCGGUGGCUGCAGGAAAAUCGAUCGGUGGUGGUGGAUACCGCGGUGGUGACAAUGGUCUUGUAAAGGGAGUAUGUUUUUAAGGUGGUGAUGUUUAAGUUUGUUUUUAUAUGGAGGUGUUGAAGUUAUGUG
RNAcentral lists this long non-coding RNA (203 nucleotides) under Lathyrus oleraceus (garden pea). Its description in RNAcentral is "Pisum sativum (pea) long non-coding RNA (PSAT_LNC035653)". Lineage: Eukaryota; Viridiplantae; Streptophyta; Magnoliopsida; Fabales; Fabaceae. The record is from RNAcentral.